This 611-nucleotide long non-coding RNA is filed under the name Chrysemys picta bellii (western painted turtle). RNAcentral's name for it is "lncRNA (ENSCPBG00000026131.1)". Lineage: Eukaryota; Metazoa; Chordata; Testudines; Emydidae. The record is from RNAcentral.
CUCCCAGUCACCAUGGUAUUUAGAUUCUAAAUUAAAACCCUCUUCUGAGCCUUGUAAUGAUGCUGACUUCCUGUUUGAGUCUUGGAUCCUGCAAGUCAAUAGAACUAUCAAGUGAGUCUCCUGACUGUACUGCCAUGUUGUUGUGCACUUCAGGUCCUUUACAUCAGAGAAGGCGAUUGAGAGGAUGCCUUUAUUCCUGUGGCUCCAGGCAGGGACGCUGCUCCAUUCCUCUCCAGGACUUCUUUCAGUCAAGCUGGCUUAUAGGCCUGUGUUCCUUUCUACUGAAAUGUGUUGAGGGCUGGAAGUUUCCCUCCCUUUAUCUCCCUUCCUUCUGAUACCAACCUGGAAAUGCUCCACUGGCUACUGCACACUACCUUUAAACAUGGUGGAGUUGAAAUACCCGAGAUGUACUGUUCCAUUCAUAAAUCCCUGUUGUCUCAUAUUAUUAACUGAAAACGCUGGAAGAAUCCAAACUGACUCUAUUGUUAUGGAGUUCUUACACAUAGUCUUACAAAUUCUUAGUGUGUGAGUGCUGUUCAGUCUCUGAAGAAAUGUUGCAUUGCUAUUUUUGUGAUGUAAUUUCUUUAAGGGGAGCUGUUGCAAACAUUAAG